GGUGCCUUAGCUCAGCUGGUAGAGCAACGGACUGAAAAUCCGUGUGUCCCCAGUUCGAUCCUGGGAGGCACCA
This 73-nucleotide transfer RNA is filed under the name Flavobacteriales bacterium. RNAcentral's name for it is "tRNA-Phe". It matches the Rfam family "tRNA". Rfam says of the family: Transfer RNA (tRNA) molecules are approximately 80 nucleotides in length. Their secondary structure includes four short double-helical elements and three loops (D, anti-codon, and T loops). Further hydrogen bonds mediate the characteristic L-shaped molecular structure. tRNAs have two regions of fundamental functional importance: the anti-codon, which is responsible for specific mRNA codon recognition, and the 3' end, to which the tRNAs corresponding amino acid is attached (by aminoacyl-tRNA synthetases). tRNAs cope with the degeneracy of the genetic code in two manners: having more than one tRNA (with a specific anti-codon) for a particular amino acid; and 'wobble' base-pairing, i.e. permitting non-standard base-pairing at the 3rd anti-codon position. Lineage: Bacteria; Pseudomonadati; Bacteroidota; Flavobacteriia; Flavobacteriales. The record is from RNAcentral.